ACAAUCGUAACUACGUGGAAAAGGAAUUAAUUUAGCAUAUGUUACUCGCAAAAUGCAUUUUUUGAGGCGUUGGCAGGCUAUAUUUAACCCGAGCAGCAGGACGGUCACCCUCAGGCGAGCUGUGCUAACGGACACCCAGCAUCCAGGAGGGCCGAAAUCCGCACCGCAGCUUCACGGCGACCCCCGCAUCCCGCAGCCAUCCCUUGGAAAUCCGCUCCCAGCGAGCUGCCCGGCGCUGAGGGGUCCCUGAAAACGCCUUGACGCAACACAGCCGCCUCGCAGCCCGCCCCGCUCCUCAGCCCCUCACCUGAGGUGACGCCGUCAACCGCCGCCCUCGCGCGCGCCCCUCCCGCUCUAUUCCCAGCAGCGCCCGCGCUGCCCGCCCGCCCGCAUCACGUGACCUCCAUCGCCCCGCCUUUCCGGCCCUGCCCACCCCCCACUUCCUUCCCCCCUCAGCUCCAUCUCCUUCCGGGUGCGCGCGCACAGCCCUGUGGGAAGGCCCGGCCCUCCCUCCUUCUCUCUCUCCCCCCCCCCUCCUUCACCCCCCCCCGCGGCCUCCCGAGCUCCCCCGCGGCGCAUGCGCAGUGGCUGCCUCCCAUCUUCCUCCCCGGCAGCGCCGGAGCCCCCAGCAGCCGGAGCGGCGGCAGCUGACGAUGAGGAGCGCGGGGGGGGCGGGGGGGGGCCGUUAUUUAUAUCGUUAAAGGGACAGGCCGCCCAUUUCUCCGCCGCGGGGGCUGGGGGGGGCCGUCGCACGGCCACCGACUUUCUUUCCCCCCCCCCCCCCCCCCCCCCCCCCCCCCCCCCCCCCCCCAACCCCCCCGGACCGGAGGAACCCGGGGCCGGAGUGAGGCGCCGAGAACGACAGCGGAGAGUUUCUUCCCUCCUCCCUCCUCCUCCUCCUCCUCCUCCUUCUCCUCCUCCUCCUCCCCGCGGCCGUCAGCGGAGGGAGAAAGGGCCCCGCCGGGAGCACGGAGCAGCCGGGCGGCCCCCACCCCCCGCGCUCCCCUCCUCCCCCUUUAUUGCCCUUUGUGUGCGUUCGCCGCCUGCGCCGCUCCGGGGCCGGCCGGGCGCCGGGGGGCCGCUGAGAUCCUUACUGACGAUGGUGAUCAUUGGAGGUAGAAAUACUGAAGGAUACGUCAUUUACAGACAAGAUCUUUGA
This 1159-nucleotide long non-coding RNA is filed under the name Phasianus colchicus (ring-necked pheasant). RNAcentral describes it as "lncRNA (ENSPCLG00000005799.1)". The record is from RNAcentral. Lineage: Eukaryota; Metazoa; Chordata; Aves; Galliformes; Phasianidae.